RNAcentral lists this ribosomal RNA (253 nucleotides) under uncultured bacterium. Its description in RNAcentral is "partial 16S ribosomal RNA". It matches the Rfam family "Bacterial small subunit ribosomal RNA", at positions 524 to 776 of the family's 1533-position model. The record is from RNAcentral.
UACAGAGGGUGCAAGCGUUAAUCGGAAUUACUGGGCGUAAAGCGUGCGUAGUCGGUUAUUCAAGUCGGGUGUGAAAGCCCCGGGCUCAACCUGGGAAUUGCAUUUGAUACUGUUUAGCUAGAGUUCGGCAGAGGGAAGUGGAAUUUCGGGUGUAGCGGUGAAAUGCGUAGAUAUCCGAAGGAACAUCAGUGGCGAAGGCGACUUCCUGGAUCAGAACUGACGAUCAGGCACGAAAGCGUGGGGAGCAAACAGA